UCAUCACCAACCACAACUCAAUACUUCUAGAAGAAAACUGCUUGGAAACUAUAUCUGGUGCCUCCCUAAGAAUCUUACUGUCUGAUAAAUUUCCUCAGAUGUUGGCAUCCUCUCAUAAAUCCGAAAAUACAUGGGAAAUGACAAAAGGUUGGUACACUUUCUCGAUAGUAUACAAACUCUUGUAAAAAUUUGUUAUCAUCCCUUCAAUCUCAUUCGGGUCAGUGACAUAGUUCCCCUCUUCAUCCUUAGUUAUGCCAUACAUGUUCCUCCUCCUUAUAAUUGUGACACCAUGAAUAUACUUGUAUUCUUAUCCCACAUAUAUAGCCAUUUGACUCUUGAUUUCUGAUACCAAUGUAUCUCAUCUUCCACUAGCAUUUGUUCAUACUCCUUCCAACUCUUUUUAUAUUCUAGAUCAAGAU
Molecule: long non-coding RNA, 419 nt
Filed under: Glycine max (soybean)
Lineage: Eukaryota; Viridiplantae; Streptophyta; Magnoliopsida; Fabales; Fabaceae
Description: long non-coding RNA (GMAX_LNC000297)
Source: RNAcentral